GACGAACGCUGGCGGCGUGCCUAAUACAUGCAAGUCGACCUUAGUGGCGAACGGGUGAGUAACACGUGGGUAACCUGCCCAUCAGAAGGGGAUAACACUUGGAAACAGGUGCUAAUACCGUAUCCUGAUGGAUGGACCCUCGGGUGAUUAGCUAGUUGGUGAGGUAACGGCUCACAAAGGCCACGAUGCAUAGCCAGCCGGAGAGGGGGAUCGGCCACAUUGGGACUGAGACACGGCCCAAACUCCUACGGGAGGCAGCAGUAGGGAAUCUUCGGCAAUGGACGAAAGGCGGACCGAGCAACGCCGCGUGAGUGAAGAAGGUUUGCGGAUCGUAAAACUCUGUUGUUAGAGAAGCGGUAUCUAACCAGAAAGCCACGGCUAACUACGUGCCAGCAGCCGCGGUAAUUC
This 408-nucleotide ribosomal RNA is filed under the name uncultured bacterium. RNAcentral's name for it is "partial 16S ribosomal RNA". It matches the Rfam family "Bacterial small subunit ribosomal RNA", at positions 28 to 526 of the family's 1533-position model. The record is from RNAcentral.